This 443-nucleotide ribosomal RNA is filed under the name uncultured bacterium. RNAcentral's name for it is "bacterial SSU rRNA". It matches the Rfam family "Bacterial small subunit ribosomal RNA", at positions 355 to 821 of the family's 1533-position model. The record is from RNAcentral.
UCGGGAAUUUUGGGCAAUGGGCGAAAGCCUGACCCAGCAACGCCGCGUGAAGGAUGAAGUAUUUCGGUAUGUAAACUUCGAAAGAAUAGGAAGAAUAAAUGACGGUACUAUUUAUAAGGUCCGGCUAACUACGUGCCAGCAGCCGCGGUAAUACGUAGGGACCAAGCGUUGUUCGGAUUUACUGGGCGUAAAGGGCGCGUAGGCGGCAAUUCAAGUCAUCUGUGAAAUCUCCGGGCUUAACUCGGAACGGUCAGAUGAUACUGCUUUGCUAGAGUGCAGAAGGGGCAAUCGGAAUUCUUGGUGUAGCGGUGAAAUGCGUAGAUAUCAAGAGGAACGCCUGAGGUGAAGACGGGUUGCUGGGCUGACACUGACGCUGAGGCGCGAAAGCCAGGGGAGCAAACGGGAUUAGAUACCCAAGUAGUCCCUGAGCGGGCUGGCAAGGC